Molecule: ribosomal RNA, 253 nt
Filed under: uncultured bacterium
Lineage: Bacteria
Description: partial 16S ribosomal RNA
Rfam family: Bacterial small subunit ribosomal RNA
Source: RNAcentral
UACAGAGGUGGCAAGCGUUGUUCGGAAUUACUGGGCGUAAAGGGCGCGUAGGCGGUCUUGUCAGUCCCUUGUGAAAUCCCCCGGCUCAACUGGGGAACUGCACGGGAAACAGCAGGGCUUGAGUUCGGGAGAGGGAAGCGGAAUUCCGGGUGUAGCGGUGAAAUGCGUAGAUAUCCGGAGGAACACCAAUGGCGAAGGCAGCUCGCUGGGACGGUACUGACGCUGAGACGCGAAAGCGUGGGGAGCAAACAGG